This is a long non-coding RNA of Lytechinus pictus (painted urchin), 274 nucleotides long. RefSeq lists it as uncharacterized. The transcript is spliced from 4 exons. Lineage: Eukaryota; Metazoa; Echinodermata; Echinoidea; Temnopleuroida; Toxopneustidae. The record is from RefSeq and is a predicted model, not a curated record.
UAUUGGUUUCAGCAUGACAAGGUGCAUCAAAGGAGCUUGGAGCCUCCCUGACACGACUCUGCCUUCGACACAAAUCAAUAGAACUCAAGCUCAAGUCCUUCUCAAGUUCAAUUAUGGAAUAUUUGGUGGUCCCUCUUCAAGAUAAGACAGAAGAAUGGAAGAAGGUUACAGUUCAACUUGACAAGGAUCACGCAAAAGAGUACAAGAAGGCUAGGCAGGAUAUCAAGAAGAAGUCUUCGGACACUAUCAGACUUCAAAAGAAAGCAAGAAAAGG